CACAGACAGGAAGACACAAACAUCAAACAGGCAAUUUGAAGCCGCUGAAAAGAUGACUAGAUGUCCCUGAGCGUCCCUCAAACAGCAGGCCCUCCGAGACCUCGGAGACAGAGCUGGCUGCAGGUCCACUAAGCCCCUCAGCCCCAUAUGGUCUGGAGGCUUACGCGUCCAGGGGAGACAUGCGAAGAGAAGCCCAGAGGCUGGAUUCAUGGACAGGAAAGAAGAAGAAGAAGAAACAGGGAGGAGGGUAGUCCAACAAAAACAACGGGCCGAUAACAUGAAUGAUGAAACGAGAGAAGUAAGCGGGGACACGCGCUCAACGAAAAGAAGAGAAGAGUGAAGGAAAAAUGAAAAGAGCAGCACAAGGACUGAGUCACACAGCAGGACAGGAAGUCUUAGAUGGAGACACCCUUCCUUCCUGUCAGCGCACUGAUCGCCAACACUAGACACCAUUCACUCACAUGUCACAUGACACAUGUGACAAGAAUCACAGCAGACAGUGGCAUGCGUUGUACUUCUGGCAGUUUAUUUGAGCGGUACUCAAGUUUGUUUGAGUGUUGCCUGUGGUAACUUAUUUUAGUUAAAGUGUAUACAACUCUGGGCCAAGUCUGCACAGCUCUCACAUAACUGAAUUUUUUUUACAACUUUCUGUUUUUUGGUAUCAAUCUAAAAAAAA
This is a long non-coding RNA of Solea senegalensis (Senegalese sole), 676 nucleotides long. RefSeq lists it as uncharacterized. The transcript has 3 exons. NCBI's taxonomy places the organism in Eukaryota, Metazoa, Chordata, Actinopteri, Pleuronectiformes, Soleidae. The record is from RefSeq and is a predicted model, not a curated record.